Long non-coding RNA from Nicotiana tabacum (common tobacco), 947 nucleotides. RefSeq lists it as uncharacterized. Lineage: Eukaryota; Viridiplantae; Streptophyta; Magnoliopsida; Solanales; Solanaceae. The record is from RefSeq and is a predicted model, not a curated record.
AAACUCCACUCUUGUCCCUCUCCCAUGGCAGACACUCUGUUCCUUUUUCUAUUUUUGAUAAAACUCCAAACAUCUUCAUCCCUAGGCUAGAAAAUAUCAUUCCAUUAUAAUGAAUCUUCAUACACCAAACUUGGUCAAACUAGGCUCAUAACAAAAAGCCAGGAUUACUUUUCAGAGAAUGAGAUUUGGUCUCUGCAUCAAAGAUUUGAUCCAAUGCAAAUGGUUUUUUUUGUUCAAAAUUCAAAUGGUUAGUCCGAUUUCCGCUCAAUGGUUCCCCAGCCCUAAAAUCGUCUCUAUAAAUACAUCCUAUUGGUGUCUAUUUUGGAUAUGUUUUGGAGCUACACCUUUACCCCCAAAAAUGGUUGGAGCCGCCUACUUUCACCUUAAAUUAAAUGGUUUUUAGCCGCACUUUUACCCCAAAAUUUGAUGGUUUUUAGCUGCCUCUUACUCCUAAACUUUUUUUGAAGUCGCUGCCUUUCUCUUUAAACAAAAAGUUUUAACCGCUUCUCGAACCUAAAAUCGCUACUUUGAGCCGUCUUCUCUCCUUAUUCUGUUCACGUUUUAUUCUUCAACAGACUUCCCAAAAGCUUAUCCUUUCCCUAAAUACUUCGUAUUUCUUUUCCAAACUCUCCAACAAAGUUGUUCGUAGUAAAAGUUUCGAGGUCGGAAUUUGAGAGCAUCUAUGAUCACCGCCCUCAGUUCACUGCUCUGAAAUAGUCUUAAUUGGAGACUGUCGCAAUGGAGUCUCCCACCACCACGUGGAGUCAUCGCAUAACAUAUCCCAUAGAUGUAUCGGAUAGCUAGAAAACAAGCGAAUUACUUGAGGUUGCCUAUGACGGCUUUUGUUUUUACUUACUCUGUCUGAUGUUGUUAAUUUAUGUGAAUUGUUUUGUUUGAACCUAUGAUUGAUGAUUAAUUUUAUCAUUUAAAAUUACAGUUUUUAAUAA